CAAUAACAGGAGCUUUUGUGAAUGGAAACUUUCCCAGCAAAUACAAUAUAGGAUUAUAGAGAAAAAAAUUAAAUGCUUUAUCUUUUUGUUGAGGUAUUUUAGCAGGUAUUGCUGCUAAAAUAAAUGUCUGCAACUUCCUUUCUUGUUGUUUCAUGAACAGAAGAUAAAAUAGCUUGGGAUUUUCAAGGCAGAGGCACAUUCUAGUAUUUAUCCAUUGAAGGUUAUUUUAUUGGUAAUAAAAGAGAUUACUUUUUACCAGUUAACUUACUUGUUUGAUCAAAACAAUAAUUUUCCUUAAAAUUAAUUUCAUGUUAUCUAUAUAUCUUUGGCUGGUGCAGCCAGGAAAGUGUGCCUCUAUCAUUGCACCUACAGAUCUUGCUGUAAAAAAAGCUUGGUAAAUUCCCUGCCCUGUGUGAUUAAUUUUCUAAUCUUUCCCAUAGAUACCAUGAACAGAAUGGAGUCACAGCCUUAAAUAAUUUUAAAUUUGGACCACUCUUUAUGAGGCUGUGUUAUGAGCUAGACCUUGAAAGACCUGCAGCAGAACUUAUCAAAGAUCAGGUGCUUUGGAAGUUUUGGUAGAAAUGAAAAAACAAGGUAUACCUUUCAACAAAGAAACCUAUCUACUUGCAGUUGCAAUAUGCUAUAAACUGAGGUAUUUUUGAUGUCAACUCUGCUGUGGUGGUGCAGGUGGCAGGAGUGCCACGACCUCUCUGAAGAAGUAUCCUGAGAAAGAUGGCUCUCAGAGACACAGGAAUAUCCCUCUCUUAGCCUGGGCAACCUGGAGUCUUCCAAAACCUCUGUGAGACUGCUUGAAGAAGCUCAGCUUAAAGGGGACACGUUGUCACUGAGAGCAUACUGCUUUGCAAUGGCAACUGCUCUCAAGCAGAAUGAUAUAGCACAAGCCA
RNAcentral lists this long non-coding RNA (905 nucleotides) under Parus major (Great Tit). RNAcentral's name for it is "lncRNA (ENSPMJG00000016183.1)". Lineage: Eukaryota; Metazoa; Chordata; Aves; Passeriformes; Paridae. The record is from RNAcentral.